This 450-nucleotide ribosomal RNA is filed under the name uncultured bacterium. Its description in RNAcentral is "partial 16S ribosomal RNA". It matches the Rfam family "Bacterial small subunit ribosomal RNA", at positions 354 to 796 of the family's 1533-position model. The record is from RNAcentral.
GUGGGGAAUCUUCCGCAAUGGACGAAAGUCUGACGGAGCAACGCCGCGUGAGUGAUGAAGGUCUUCGGAUUGUAAAGCUCUGUUAAUCGGGACGAAAGAGCCUAGUGUGAAUAAUGCUAGGAAGUGACGGUACCGGAAUAGAAAGCCACGGCUAACUACGUGCCAGCAGCCGCGGUAAUACGUAGGUGGCAAGCGUUGUCCGGAAUUAUUGGGCGUAAAGCGCGCGCAGGCGGAUCUGCCAGUCUGUCUUAAAAGUUCGGGGCUUAACCCCGUGAUUGGAUGGAAACUACAGAUCUAGAGUAUCGGAGAGGAAAGUGGAAUUCCUAGUGUAGCGGUGAAAUGCGUAGAUAUUAGGAAGAACACCAGUGGCGAAGGCGACUUUCUGGACGAAAACUGACGCUGAGGCGCGAAAGCCAGGGGAGCGAACGGGAUUAGAUACCCGGGUAGUCC